Camelina sativa (false flax) is the source of this 714-nucleotide long non-coding RNA. RefSeq lists it as uncharacterized. Lineage: Eukaryota; Viridiplantae; Streptophyta; Magnoliopsida; Brassicales; Brassicaceae. The record is from RefSeq and is a predicted model, not a curated record.
UUCGAUAUUUGUUGGAUGAGGAAAAACUCUGUCGUUUUGCUUCUUUCUCUUUCUCCUCUCUCUUUCGCGACGAGCUCUUCUCUCUUUCUCAACUCUCUCUGUAGCGACUCUUUCUUGUUGAGAAUCUGAGUAUUAUCAAGCCGCUUUAGCCAUUCACAUGUCAUGGUUUCUCCUCUCGCUCCCAGAUUCUUACAAACCCUAACCCAAUUCCCUAAUUCUCGGUUUCUUGCUCCAUGUUCUGUUUUGAGUUUAAUAACGCAGAUAAACUGAGAAUUUUGAGAAGUCAAAUUGCUCCUUUUCAAUCCAACAGAGUUCGGUUAAAAACCCUUUUUUUGUCUGCUCAGUCCAGUUUCUUGAAAGGAAAAAGCAAAGAAAGAACAGUGGAUUAUCAUAGGGUGGAGGCUCAACGCUUCCUUUUUUGUUGUCUUAAUCUCAGGAUAUUGCAGCAAAAAUCUUUCCAAGCAGAAGCUGUCUUCACGGAACCUUCAGGUGAUGAUGAGUCUUUGCAGAAUGAGAAUGUCAAUCAAGUCAAUGGCAAUCCAAAUGCUUGCUGGAAUGUGUAAAGUUGAUUUGAAUAGUUGUUUUGAAUCUCUUUGCUUAUAGUCAUGAAUCUCUGUUUUGAAUCUCUGUUUUUUUUUUGUCAAUGAAUAUAUGUUUUGUAUUUGACAAGUUUUUAAUGUGAUUAUGAUGAACUCUUCAAAAAAAAAAUCUUAA